Molecule: non-coding RNA, 45 nt
Filed under: Schistosoma mansoni
Lineage: Eukaryota; Metazoa; Platyhelminthes; Trematoda; Strigeidida; Schistosomatidae
Source: RNAcentral
AUCCAGCUGAUAAGUUCCAAAAAGGACGAAACGCGCUUUCUGGAU